This is a long non-coding RNA of Alnus glutinosa, 570 nucleotides long. RefSeq lists it as uncharacterized. Lineage: Eukaryota; Viridiplantae; Streptophyta; Magnoliopsida; Fagales; Betulaceae. The record is from RefSeq and is a predicted model, not a curated record. The transcript has 3 exons.
CCCUCCCUCUCCCCUCUUCACAUUGCUCUCUUCCACAUUUCUUCUUCACUCACUCACACACACAUGGCCGUGAGAGAGAGCUGCCAUGGGAGAGAUUGAUGCCGAGAGUGAGACGUUGCAGAUUUUUGAGAGGGAGAUUUAGAGCAUGACACAGAGAAGAGAAAGAAGAAGUCCGGUUAUGGGUCGUUUGUGAGGAUUGUGUCCAAAUUAGAGACUUUAAUUGGUUCUCCAAUGUAGAGUUUGAGUAACUAGAAUUCAAGGGAAUAUUCGAGUCAAGAGUCCAAUGUAGCCAAGAUGAUGUUCAUUUGGCUGUAGGUACUCCAGUCGUAGUUGAUGGUGUUGUAGAUGUGCACUUGGGAUAUUAUGACUGAAACUCGCCGCGACGGUCGUAGUUGCAGAACCAUAGGCAUCCUCUAUUUUAUGGGUUUUGUUUAUGGUUUGUGACACCUGUGUCACUUGUUAUUAUAUAAGGUCAUUUAUGUUAUGUAUUUAAUUUGAAGAAAGACUUAAAUAGAUAUAUGUAAUAUUGGCUCUUGAUUAUGAUUAAUUUAUGAUAGAUGUUUAAGAUGU